RNAcentral lists this ribosomal RNA (174 nucleotides) under Eupsophus altor (Oncol's ground frog). RNAcentral's name for it is "partial 16S ribosomal RNA". Lineage: Eukaryota; Metazoa; Chordata; Amphibia; Anura; Alsodidae. The record is from RNAcentral.
ACGUGAUCUGAGUUCAGACCGGAGUAAUCCAGGUCAGUUUCUAUCUAUAAGGAGCUUUUUUUAGUACGAAAGGACCAAAAAAGCAUGGCCCAUGUCUCCGACAAACCAUCUCUACUAACUUAUGUCUAAAACUUAAUUCUUAUUUAGUCCCCUUCUCUGUUCAAAAAAAGAACA